This 253-nucleotide ribosomal RNA is filed under the name uncultured bacterium. Its description in RNAcentral is "partial 16S ribosomal RNA". It matches the Rfam family "Bacterial small subunit ribosomal RNA", at positions 524 to 776 of the family's 1533-position model. The record is from RNAcentral.
UACGUAGGGUGCAAGCGUUGUCCGGAAUUAUUGGGCGUAAAGAGCUCGUAGGCGGUCUGUCGCGUCGGCUGUGAAAACUCGGGGCUCAACCCCGAGCCUGCAGUCGAUACGGGCAGACUAGAGUGCGGUAGGGGAGACUGGAAUUCCUGGUGUAGCGGUGAAAUGCGCAGAUAUCAGGAGGAACACCGGUGGCGAAGGCGGGUCUCUGGGCCGAUACUGACGCUGAGGAGCGAAAGCGUGGGGAGCGAACAGG